GCAGUCGAGCGAAGACUUCGGUCUUAGCGGCGGACGGGUGAGUAACGCGUGGGAACGUGCCCUUCACUACGGAAUAGUCCCGGGAAACUGGGUUUAAUACCGUAUACGCCCUUCGGGGGAAAGAAUUUCGGUGAAGGAUCGGCCCGCGUUGGAUUAGGUAGUUGGUGGGGUAAUGGCCUACCAAGCCGACGAUCCAUAGCUGGUUUGAGAGGAUGAUCAGCCACACUGGGACUGAGACACGGCCCAGACUCCUACGGGAGGCAGCAGUGGGGAAUCUUAGACAAUGGGGGAAACCCUGAUCUAGCCAUGCCGCGUGAGUGAUGAAGGCCUUAGGGUCGUAAAGCUCUUUCGCCAGGGAAGAUAAUGACGGUACCUGGUAAAGAAACCCCGGCUAACUCCGUGCCAGCAGCCGCGGUAAUACGGAGGGGGUUAGCGUUGUUCGGAAUUACUGGGCGUAAAGCGCGCGUAGGCGGAUUAGUAAGUCAGGGGUGAAAUCCCGGGGCUCAACCCCGGAACUGCCCUUGAUACUGCUAGUCUUGAGUUCGAGAGAGGUGAGUGGAAUUCCGAGUGUAGAGGUGAAAUUCGUAGAUAUUCGGAGGAACACCAGUGGCGAAGGCGGCUCACUGGCUCGAUACUGACGCUGAGGUGCGAAAGCGUGGGGAGCAAACAGG
Molecule: ribosomal RNA, 671 nt
Filed under: uncultured Paracoccaceae bacterium
Lineage: Bacteria; Pseudomonadati; Pseudomonadota; Alphaproteobacteria; Rhodobacterales; Paracoccaceae
Description: bacterial SSU rRNA
Rfam family: Bacterial small subunit ribosomal RNA
Source: RNAcentral